This 501-nucleotide ribosomal RNA is filed under the name uncultured bacterium. Its description in RNAcentral is "partial 16S ribosomal RNA". It matches the Rfam family "Bacterial small subunit ribosomal RNA", at positions 30 to 523 of the family's 1533-position model. The record is from RNAcentral.
AUUGAACGCUGGCGGCAGGCUUAACACAUGCAAGUCGAGCGGGGGAAGGUAGCUUGCUACCGGACCUAGCGGCGGACGGGUGAGUAAUGCUUAGGAAUCUGCCUAUUAGUGGGGGACAACAUCUCGAAAGAGAUGCUAAUACCGCAUACGUCCUACGGGAGAAAGCAGGGGAUCUUCGGACCUUGCGCUAAUAGAUGAGCCUAAGUCGGAUUAGCUAGUUGGUGGGGUAAAGGCCUACCAAGGCGACGAUCUGUAGCGGGUCUAAGAGGAUGAUCCGCCACACUGGGACUGAGACACGGCCCAGACUCCUACGGGAGGCAGCAGUGGGGAAUAUUGGACAGUGGGGGGAACCCUGAUCCAGCCAUGCCGCGUGUGUGAAGAAGGCCUUAUGGUUGUAAAGCACUUUAAGCGAGGAGGAGGCUACUUUAGUUAAUACCUAGAGAUAGUGGACGUUACUCGCAGAAUAAGCACCGGCUAACUCUGUGCCAGCAGCCGCAGUAA